Molecule: unclassified non-coding RNA, 215 nt
Filed under: plant metagenome
Description: partial contains small subunit ribosomal RNA and internal transcribed spacer 1
Rfam family: Eukaryotic small subunit ribosomal RNA (bases 1-46)
Source: RNAcentral
AAGUCGUAACAAGGUUUCCGUAGGUGAACCUGCGGAAGGAUCAUUAUUGAAAUAAACCUGAUGGGUUGUUGCUGGUUCUCUAGGGAGCAUGUGCACGCCUUGUCAUUUUUUAUAUCUCCACCUGUGCACCUUUUGUAGGCCUUUUAGGUCUAUGUUGCUUUUUCAUUUACCCCAAUGUAUGUUUAUAGAAUGUUGUGCAUAUAAAAUCUAUACAA